This 253-nucleotide ribosomal RNA is filed under the name uncultured bacterium. RNAcentral describes it as "partial 16S ribosomal RNA". It matches the Rfam family "Bacterial small subunit ribosomal RNA", at positions 524 to 776 of the family's 1533-position model. The record is from RNAcentral.
UACGUAGGGGGCAAGCGUUGUCCGGAUUUAUUGGGCGUAAAGGGCGCGUAGGCGGCGCAACAAGUCACUUGUGAAAUCUCCGGGCUUAACUCGGAACGGUCAAGUGAUACUGUCGGACUAGAGUACAGAAGGGGCAACUGGAAUUCUCGGUGUAGCGGUGAAAUGCGUAGAUAUCGAGAGGAACACCUGCGGCGAAGGCGGGUUGCUGGGCUGAUACUGACGCUGAGGCGCGAAAGCCAGGGGAGCGAACGGG